This is a long non-coding RNA of Drosophila simulans, 2579 nucleotides long. RefSeq lists it as uncharacterized. The record is from RefSeq and is a predicted model, not a curated record. The transcript has 3 exons. Lineage: Eukaryota; Metazoa; Arthropoda; Insecta; Diptera; Drosophilidae.
GUUGUUUGAGUGUGUUUUUCAGUGGCACGAACGAGAAUAUUGUUUGAAUCCGAAUCCGCACUCCAAGUGCACUUGAAGGAUAAUGCUACUCUGCAAUUUCCACGCCCCCCAACCGCCCACCGCCCAUAUUACACUUACAUCAGCAAUAAGCAGUUAGCUUCGUCGGUUGAUAUUCGGCUGUGUGUAUGUAUAUUCGAAAUGUAUGUAUAUAUGUACGGGGCGCGUAUGUAUAUUUACUACAAAACUGCCGUUGGUUUUGUGGUGUUAUUGGAAACUUUCACGUUUUACGCAGUAUUUUGCACUUGCAACUACUAUAUCCGCACUCACUGGCACACCGAAAUCUUUAUUUUCACCGUUUUCUUUUCUUUCAGUAGCUGGGGCUCCGUUCCCAAGUUCAGUUUAAGUUUAACGCUUAUUUCGAUCACUUUUCACUUGGCUCUCUUCCUUAACUAGAUCACACGGCUCGAAUUUAAGACAUUUUCUCCUCGGUAAAUUGCUACUGCUAUUCUAUUCACAAAUUUUUGGCGAGAGAACGUUUUCGUACAUCUUAACGCCGCCGCAAACAUUUUCGAUUAAAACAGCGAAACGCGACGGCCAGUCAGUUGGAGUCAGCAGAGAGAGCGAACAGAGUGUAAAACGAAGAGCGGGAGAGCGCGCGCGCAGUGUUGCUUUGGAAUUCAUUUUCUGCUGCUGCCGCAGCUAAAACAGGGUGGCAACUCAGCGGCGCAACAACUAAAAUCCUCCGUCGAGCGCAUUGAAAACACAGCAGUAGCUGACGGCAAAAAAAAAAUAGUUUAUAUAUCAUUCAUUACCUAUAAGCAAAUAAUCACAAUCAGUGGUUAUUUUUAUUAGCGGUGAGCGGUACCGCAUGCAAAUCGUCGCAAAAUGGCGCUUAGAAUUUGGAUAAGAAACGAAAUACGUGAAGCUUACGUAAGUGCGAGGACCAACAACAACGCUGGGAAGAGAGAAAACAAGUUGUUAAGCAAACAGGGUGUACCGUUGUCACCCAGCCAUGUGGUGGAAACGAUGAUCGGAGCAUCUGGGUGAGACACCCUGUUUGCGGCAAAGAGAGAGAGCGGCUGUGAGAGCAGCGCACUCACACAAGCGAAACGAGUAUACAGCGGAUAGCGACGUCGGCAGAGCGUUUUAGCCGACCAUUGCAGUACAUAUGUGAAAUCGACGAAACCGAAAAUCAGAAACCAAACGGACCACUAGCGAGCUACAACUCUGCCACGGCUACACUUUACACACUCAUGUACUCCUCCACCACCUCACUCGCCAGCGCACUCACACACAGACGCGUGCGUGCGGAGAGAGGAAGUAAAAAAUAUGAAGACAAAAAAAAGCAAGUGCAUCUCACCAUGACAAUGGCGGAACCAUAAAAACACAUGUUCCCAUCUCGAAUUGAACCGAAUUCGGCGGCCAGCUCCUUCACAAAAUAAAAUAAUACAGGAAAAAAAUCUGUAUACGCGCAAAAGUUGAGCUGCUAAAACAUGGAAACCUUGCAGUUAUCGAUUCGUCUCGCUCAUUGCGCAAUGAAAAAAAAUGCAGCGGGGGCGGCGGAUUCGAGAGAGCCUCUCUCUUUGUGAGCCACCUGCAGCGAUAGGAAAUGCAAAUCCAUCCGCCUUCCACUUUCCAGCUCGAAAGUUCAAAGUUCACAUGCAACUAACUACUGGGUGCAGCGCAUGUCCGAGGUGCACCGAAGUCCCUGGACCAAACAAAAAAAUGGCACAAACCAAACUCUCCGAUUUCCAGGCGCCGCAGGAAGGUUUGUUUGCCCUUCCAUUGGAUCUCGACGUCAUGAAAUGCGGCACUAGGAAAUAUUUACUGAAUACAACGCUGAUCAAGUGAUAUCUGAAAUGUGGUAAAGUGCUUCUUGUCACACGGACACGGAUCUCUAUAAAAAACCAAUUAGUUUGAUAUUCGUACGUGUUCUGCAAAUUAUCAGAUGUUUUUAACUCUCUUGAGUCACAUGAUAUUUAUUGUGAUAAAUACUUUUGGUUAUUUAUUGUUUGUUUGUCCUAAAAAAUUGACAACACAGAAAAUGGAAGACUUUUUAUUUAUUGCUUUACUAUAAAAUAUAUUCAUUUUUUUGAGAAAAAUGUUAAUAUGAAACUUAAAGUGUCUUUUUAACUUUAUUAUUAAUUCCCAUCAAAACUAUAAAUCUAUUUAUGGAUUAGAGAACCCUCCUCUUUAUGUAAAAGAUUAUUCACAAAUGUGCCGUUGAGCCAAAAUACGUGUUGUAUCAAAAUUAUAAGCAAUUGGAAAGUUUAUAAAUUAAAACAGCGAUUAUACAUUUGGGAAUAGAAAUAACACGAUAGAACACAACGGCUUCAGUCUUGUUUACUAAUUCAAUACUUAUCAAAAUGUUAAAAUAGUAUAUUCCAACAUUCAGUUCAACUCUUAAGUUUUAAUAAUAUUUCGUCAUUAUAUUGACUUGAAAAGGUUACAACUAAAUAUGUGUAAAAGUGUUCAACGUCUAAUACACUUCAACUUCGUUCCGACCAUCAAGUUCAAGAGACUUGUUCGUUGGCCUCUGGCUAAAAUACAAUUGCGAAUUGCAAACAAUUGGUUGGCGA